This 468-nucleotide ribosomal RNA is filed under the name uncultured bacterium. RNAcentral's name for it is "partial 16S ribosomal RNA". It matches the Rfam family "Bacterial small subunit ribosomal RNA", at positions 28 to 507 of the family's 1533-position model. The record is from RNAcentral.
GAUGAACGCUGGCGGCGUGCUUAACACAUGCAAGUCGAACGGAAAGGCCCUGCUUUUGUGGGGUGCUCGAGUGGCGAACGGGUGAGUAACACGUGAGUAACCUGCCCUUGUCUUUGGGAUAACUUCAGGAAACUGGGGCUAAUACCGGAUAGGAGCUACUGCUGCAUGGUGGUGGAUGGAAAGUUUCGGCGGUUGGGGAUGGACUCGCGGCUUAUCCGCUUGUUUGUGGGGUAGUGGCUGACAAAGGCUUUGACGGGUAGCCGGCAUGAGAGGGUGACCGGCCACAUUGGGACUGAGAGACGGCCCAGACGCCUACGGGAGGCAGUAGGGGGGAAUAUGGCAGAAUGGGCGGAAGCCAGAUGCAGCAACGCCGCGUGCGGGAUGACGUCCUUCGGGUUGUAAACCGCUGUCGCCUGUGACGAAGCGUGAGUGACGGUAAUGGGUAAAGAAGCACCGGCUAACUACGUG